This is an RNA transcript of Prunus avium (sweet cherry), 1353 nucleotides long. It is a transcript of the gene named AT-hook motif nuclear-localized protein 23 pseudogene, with no coding region annotated. Lineage: Eukaryota; Viridiplantae; Streptophyta; Magnoliopsida; Rosales; Rosaceae. The record is from RefSeq and is a predicted model, not a curated record.
UAUCUCUCUCCUCCUCCUCCCACCUCUCUCUCUUCUAAACUCGUACCCUUCCCUUUCCCUGCACUCGAUUCCCUUUGUUUUCUAUUCGUUCUAGGGUUUGAAAUUAUGGGGCUCUCCUUUCUCAAGAAACCCAUAAAAUAUUGAACCUCUCUAUAUUAAAAUUAUCCACAUAUUUUACUAUAUUUUUCUUGUUUUCUGUUCUCUUUAGCUCUCUGUGUAUGGCUGGCUUAGACUUGGGCUCAGCAUCUCGCUUUGUUCAUCAGCAGCUCCAAAUCCCCGACCUCCACCUCCAAAGACCACCGGAUUCUGAAGAUGAUCACAACACCCCCAACCGCAACAACCUUUUCUCCUCCGACCACCACCAAAACGACGUCGAUGAUGACAACCCUAAUCAUCAAGGGCUUGAUCUUGUGACCCCAAACCCUGGUUCGGGGGAUUCUGGAGGUAGACGCUCCAGAGGUCGACCUCCAGGAUCAAGGAACAAGCCCAAACCUCCCGUGAUCAUAACUCGGGAGAGCGCAAACACUUUGCGAGCUCAUAUUUUGGAGGUCAGCAGUGGCUGUGAUGUGUUUGAAUCCGUUGGAACAUAUGCGAGAAAAAGGCAGAGAGGGAUUUGUGUGCUCAGUGGGAGUGGUAUGGUAACCAACGUGAGCCUGCGUCAGCCAGCCGCCUGCACGGCAGAUUCGAGAUUCUGUCGUUGACUGGCUCGUUUCUGCCGCCCCCUGCGCCACCCGGGGCCACUAGCCUGACCAUAUUUUUGGCUGGUGGUUCGGGCCAGGUUAUGGGUGGAAAUGUUGUAGGAGCACUCAUAGCAUCUGGGCCUGUUAUUGUCAUAGCCUCAUCGUUUACCAACGUAGCUUAUGAGAGGUUGCCCUUGGAGGAAGAGGAGCAGCUGCAGAUGCAGCAGCCUGUGCCGCAGUCUUCGGGCGGCGGAGGCAGUGGCGGUGGCGGUGGAGGAAUAACCAACCCCUUUCCAGAUCCGUCUUCGGGACUUCCCUUCUUCAAUCUUCCGCUCAAUAACAUGCCUCAUCAGCUGCAGGUUGAUAGUUGGGGAGGAAACUCUGCCGGGCGGCCGCCUUAUUGAUAGUUUUGCUAGCUAUAGGUCAGGUCAUGACCAAGGUCAGAGAAUCGAUCCUUACAUCAAUAUCAAUCACCCCUCAUCUUGUACAAUUAUUUUUCUUGCUUAAUUUCUUUUUCUUUUUCUCUUGUCCUAACUUCAAUUUGGUUCCUAAUUUUAAGUGCUUUUUUAAUGUGUUGUUGUUGAUGAUCAUCUCCAUAUGGAAUGAUGAUGGAAGUUGGAUUUUGGAACUCCCUUUUCUUAAUUAGAAAUGGUUUCAAAGAAUAUUGUAGCUU